RNAcentral lists this long non-coding RNA (2285 nucleotides) under Homo sapiens (human). RNAcentral's name for it is "LOXL1 antisense RNA 1". Lineage: Eukaryota; Metazoa; Chordata; Mammalia; Primates; Hominidae. The record is from RNAcentral.
GCAGUUUCCAGUGGCCAGGGGUACGCGCGGCCGGAGGGGCGCCGGGGCCGUACUCACCGCGGCCGUUCUGGUUGGGCCGGUACACGCUGCCCACGCUGAGGCGGCCCUGCUGCGCGCCGUUCCGCUCCCCACCCGGCGGGGGCGUGUCGGAGCUGCGCACCGGCAGGAGCUCCUGCCUGCCUGGAUGAAGAGGAGGUCAAGACUUUGUCCCCCACUCCGCAAGAUACCCUCUCUGUUCCGGAGCGGUGGGUCCCUCCCCUGUUAGGACCUUGUCUCCCUCAGGACUGGACCUGGAUCCUGGGCCUGCAGUCAGAUUGCCAGUUUCACUUAGAGGUGGAAAUGUCAACCCACUGGUUGGAAUGGGAAGGUGAGACAGGAUUUCACCAUGUUAGCCAGGAUGGUCUUGAUCUCCUGACCUCAUGAUCUGCCCACCUCGGCCUCCCAAAGUGCUGGGCUUACAGGCGUGAGCCACCGUGCCCGGCCAAAAAUAACUUUUAAAAACAUGAGUAUAGCAUACACACACACAAAAGUCCACAAAUCCUAGGUGUACCACUUGAUGAAUGAUCCCAACGUGAGCACACCUCUGGAUUACCACCUGGAUCAAGAAAUAGGACAUCACAGCAGCUGGCAGCUUCCAAGGAGAAGCUCUGGAAAGUUCUGCCUGUCUCAGCACCUGGCUGGAUCGGAAACGAGUUUUCUUUAACCAGAUUUUUAAUGACUGACUUAUGUGGACAAAUCAUAACUGAAUGAAUCACCUCCUUUGUUGAUUUUUUUGGGUACUUUAUUUGCUAUUAUAAAUGAUGCUGUAAUAAGCACCCUUGAAGAAAUCUUCAUAUCUGCCUCUCCUGUGUAGCAGGUCACAGUGCCUGGGUUUGGUUCUAGCCCUCAUUUGUGAACUGUGUGACUCACCAUGCCUUUUUUCUUUCUGUAAGACAGGAAUAAUGGUAAGAAUUUAAAUGGGGGUAAUAUGGAGCGCGUUUAGUUCAGAGCCUGGUGCAUACAAGCACUCAAUAAGUACUGGCGAUUAUUAGACCUUUAGAUUAAUUUAUUAGAAGUUGGAUUUCUGGUGAAAGGGUUUGAGUGUUUUUGAGGCUUUGGCACAGAAUACCCAGCUGGUCCCAGAAAGGUGGUUCCCAUUUACCUGCCCGAAGGUAAUUCACCCUUACUGAUACUGAGUACUGUUUUCUAAAAGAACAUUAAAAAUUGGAUAGGUUAAAAACAGGUGAAUACAUUUUUUUAGUUGCAUUUUUUUGGUUACCCGUGAGAGUGAACAUGUUGCCAUGUGUUUGCUGACCUCCUAAAUGGUCUAUUUGCUCCUACCUUUGUACCCCAAAAGUCUGCUCUCAAGAUGGUAGCCAGAAUGAUCCUUUUUGAGACAUAAGUCAAAAUUUCACUCUUCUCCUUAAAGCUCUGCAAUGGUUCUCAGGUUAAAAGCCAAAGUCCUGUUCAAGGCCUCCAGGGUCCUCACCACUUGGUCCCUUGCUCUUUCUGUUCUAGCCAACUUGGCCUUCUCCUGCCCCUCCGCCGCACCAUGGCAAUUUCCCCUGCUCUGUGUGGUCAACUACCUGAAUCUGUUCAAAGCUUUGCUCAAAUGUCUCCUUCCUGAUGAGACCUCCCCAGCCCCUGAGCUCCCCAUGCCUCACUCCUGAUCGCCUUACUUAACCCUUCUUUUUCUUUUUUGCCAGUAGUACUUAUCACCGUCUAAAAUACUUCAUAAUUUACUUGUUUAUUGUUUGCCCCUCUCCAAUAGAAUGUAAGCUCCUUGGGGCAGGGACCUUUGUCCUUUGUCUUGUUCACUGCUGUGUCCCAUGUGUAAACUUGUCUGGCACAGAAGAGGUGCUCGAUAAAUAUUUGUUGAGUGAAUGAAUGGUAAAUUUUCUGUUCAUAUUCUUUGACUAUUUUCUAUUGUAAUGUUCAUCUUUUUAGUAUUGGUUUAUAAGAUGUAUAUUUAGCACCUUUUCAUAUAUCACUCUUUGUCACAUAUUAUGCAACUAAUUUGUCAUUUCCAUCAAUUUUUAAAAUACUUUCUUGAUGCUUCAUUUUUAAGCUGUCAGAUUAUUAAUCUUUUCUUUAUGGUCUUGGACUUUAUUGUUGCAUAACCGCUGCCUUCACCAGGAACAUAUAAAUUUUCAAUUAAAUGUUCUUCUGAGAUUUUAUGAUUUCACUUUUUAUAUUAAACUCUUCAUUUUGUCUUCAUGUGUGGUGAGAGGUAAGAACAUAACUUUAAAGCAAAUUAACCAACUAUCCCCAAAUGAAUUAUAAAUAAAUUAAUCAUUUUCCAAUGA